GUAGGUGAACCUGCGGAAGGAUCAUUAUUGAAUAAAUUUAAUGGGUUGUAGCUGGCUCUUUCAGAGUAUGUGCACGCCUGUUAUUUUAUCUUCUCCACCUGUGCACUACUUGUAGACUUUGGAUAUCCUUCUUUUUUGAGGAAACUCGAAUAAGAUAAUGGGAUUUGCUGCGCCUUGAAAAGAGGCAAGCUCAUCUUAAAUUUCCAGUCUAUGUUUUACAUACACCAUUAAUGUAACAGAAUGUUCAAAUGGCUUUCAAGCCUAUAAACAUAAAUACAACUUUCAGCAACGGAUCUCUUGGCUCUC
Molecule: unclassified non-coding RNA, 306 nt
Filed under: rhizosphere metagenome
Description: partial ribosomal RNA internal transcribed spacer region
Source: RNAcentral